This 2214-nucleotide long non-coding RNA is filed under the name Malus domestica (apple). Its description in RNAcentral is "long non-coding RNA (MDOM_LNC019898)". Lineage: Eukaryota; Viridiplantae; Streptophyta; Magnoliopsida; Rosales; Rosaceae. The record is from RNAcentral.
GUGCUGUCUCUGUAGCUCCUCAUUCAUGGAAGCCAACAGAUAGCACUUGGCUUGUGUAUCAUCCUCCACGUGCUUGUCAUACUUAGCACGUUCAUCCUCAGUAGCGUUGGGGCCAAGAGGUAUGUGAGGUGGAGCCUUGUCUAGCACGUAAACAAUCUUCUCCAAGGUUAGGAGAAUCUUGACAUUACGAUACCACGAUGGGAAAUUGUGCCCCUCUAGGCAAUGUUUGUCGAGUAUUUUCACGAGUGUGCUUCCAACCAUAUCUAUAUACAUAAACAAUAAAAUAAUUAGUUUGAUUGUUGAUUAAGUCAAACGAUUCGGGUCUUUAAACCGAAUGACACCACCCACCAUUUUUGGCAAAUUCCAUAUCCCUCAAGAUGGAAUCCGGGAGAUUUCAAAGAAAGCUCCUAGCGGGUUAUGGGAGGCUCACUAUUACCAAGCCCACCUCACGAUGAUACGAUGUUGGCUAGCAAAAAUAAUAAUGAGAGGGUACACUUACCCAUUCACAACAACUCUUGUGAUUACCCAUCUAUUUGGCCUCUAGAAAACAAUGUCUCACGAUGAUACGAUGUUGGCAUCAUUUCUCUUAGUUAAGUUCUUUCCCACCAUGUCGGUUUAGAUAGGGGUUCAAGCAUGACCUCACGAUGAUACGAUGUUGGCCACACUCGUUGCCUACCUUAACCUCAUCAAAUGUUUUAAAUAAACUCCUCCUGAGUAUAAGCAUGCACUUUGCACUCCCCCAUGAUAGGGUGAAGGCGGUGUACAAGUCAUAAACGAUUGGAGCCUACCACGGUGGAAGGCCACGAAAAAGUGUUCAAAGCACUCUUACGCUUUCAACUUAAUAUUGUAUGUUGGUUAAGGGAUUUUAAGGUCUCAUCAAUUUAUUUAUUUAAUCACAAUCAAAUAAAUUGUCCUAUUAUAACUACUAGUCCAAAGUUAAUGAAAUUAGUAGCAUAUGAUAUCCCCACUAUUUGUUUUCAUAAAACAAAUCAAUAUCAAAACAUUUUUCAAAAUAUUGGAGAUAUAUAUAACUACUAAUUAUAUUCAUUAUAGUUUUAGUAGCGUAUGAUACUCCCACUAUUUGUUUUAAGAAAAACAAAUCAAUAUCAAAAACGAAUUUUUCAAAUAUUGGAAGUAACUACUACUACUACGGUUUUUUGCAUUCCUUUGAAAUUGGACUUUAUAGUUAUCUUAGGCUCUUGGAUGACCAUGGACUUAUUAGGUUAUUGCAACAACGAGCCAACAUUGUUGAAUAUAAACUCGGGGAAGUUGUGUCAAUUUAAUUACGUGCUUUUCAAUCCAAUUAAAACAUUUUCAUUGAGCCAUUAGAAAUGAAAGACAAUCAUUCAUUGCUAAUUAGGGCUUUGGACCCAUUUAAUCUUUGAUCUCAUGUCAAAACCCUCUUUUAGUUAUGUCUCCUUACCAAUAGUUAAAGAAACUCUAGUCUAGCACUAGAGGGAAUCAACUAACUAAAAGAGAUUAAGAAGUAAUAAGAAUUACAAACCGAUUUGUACAAAUUCCUACAAAUUACACAUACUAAGAGGGAGACAUAGAUUAAUGUCAAACGUGACAAGGUCCAAUUAAAACAGUAAUUAAAACACAUUCCCAAGGUUCAAACAAUUUGAUUUUAGCGCCUUAUCUCAUAGCUCAAUUAUCGUUUAAGGCAUAAGUUCAUAGUCACCCAUUUUCUAACUACUUAAUCACAUUAAAUAAUCAAAUGGAGUGCAACAUAAACAUUUAGAUUUAGUGCAUAUGGGCAUAAUAAUAUUAUGAGUUUAAACAACCAAUAAAAUUAAAAUAAAAUAUUUUAACUUUUUAGAUGGAUGGGGCCUAUUAUGCAAAUAUGAAAAGUUAGGGGUAAAACCGUAAAUACUUGAAAGUAAAUAUCAACUUUUCAAAGAUUAUAAAAUAGCCCCACAAGUGGAUAAAUCCACUAGGGGAGGCCGGCCACAUUAAGGGGAGAUGGGAAGUCUCUUACACAUUCUUACACAACAUGCAAUAAUUCCACAUUAUGUAGAAAAAAUUAAAUUUUGCUUGUCACUUGGUUUUGCUUUGAAGACUUUAGUGAAAAGGGUGAUGGAAAUCCUCCUAGUCAAGUCUAGGGUUUUAUAAAUUUAUGAUAUGGUUAUGGAUGGUAUGAACAUCAUCCAAAACCACAAAACAAUGCAUGAAAACCAAAUAAAACCAUUUUCACCAAAAACCAAACCAUGAACA